GAGCAAAGUCUCAGAUGCAGUUGAUGCCGUUUGCCACAUCAAUUGACAAACAGCAUCAAAAUGGUAUAAAAAGGGUUAUAUGUCAAAACGGAUGUCACACAUCCCACUCUAUAUAUAUUUUUUUUAACCAGUAGAAGAACAUUUUUGCAA
Caenorhabditis elegans is the source of this 150-nucleotide non-coding RNA. Lineage: Eukaryota; Metazoa; Nematoda; Chromadorea; Rhabditida; Rhabditidae. The record is from Ensembl.